RNAcentral lists this ribosomal RNA (253 nucleotides) under uncultured bacterium. RNAcentral describes it as "partial 16S ribosomal RNA". It matches the Rfam family "Bacterial small subunit ribosomal RNA", at positions 524 to 776 of the family's 1533-position model. The record is from RNAcentral.
UACGUAGGGUGCGAGCGUUAAUCGGAAUUAUUGGGCGUAAAGGGUGCGCAGGCGGCUUCGCAAGUCGAGUGUGAAAUCCCCGAGCUUAACUUGGGAAUUGCGCUCGAAACUACGGAGCUGGAGUGUGGCAGAGGAAGGUGGAAUUCCACGUGUAGCGGUGAAAUGCGUAGAGAUGUGGAGGAACACCGAUGGCGAAGGCAGCCUUCUGGGCCAACACUGACGCUCAUGCACGAAAGCGUGGGGAGCAAACAGG